AGGACGAACGCUGGCGGCGUGGAUUAGGCAUGCAAGUCGAGCGACGGACCUUCGGGUUACGGAGCGGCGAACGGGUGAGUAACACGUGAACAACCUGCCCUCACAUUCCGGAUAAUUGGCCGAAAGGCCUUGUAAUACGGGCGAGGAUGGCGCUGGGGCAUCUCAGUGCUAAGGAACGAGCAAUCGGUGCGAGGAGGGUUCGCGGCUUAUCAGGUAGUUGGUGGGGUAACGGCCUACCAAGCCGACGACGAGUAGC
Molecule: ribosomal RNA, 256 nt
Filed under: uncultured soil bacterium
Lineage: Bacteria
Description: partial 16S ribosomal RNA
Rfam family: Bacterial small subunit ribosomal RNA
Source: RNAcentral